Molecule: non-coding RNA, 148 nt
Filed under: Gorilla gorilla gorilla (western lowland gorilla)
Lineage: Eukaryota; Metazoa; Chordata; Mammalia; Primates; Hominidae
Source: Rfam by way of RNAcentral
GCCGGGCGUGGUGGCACACACCUGUAAUCCCAGCUACUCAGGAGGCUGAGGCAGGAGAAUCGCUUGAACCCAGGAGGCAGAGGUUGUAGUGAGCCAAGAUCGCACCACUGCACUCCAGCCUGGGUGACAAAGCGAGACUCUGUCUCUA